AGACCCGAAACCCGGUGAUCUAGCCAUGGGCAGGUUGAAGGUUGGGUAACACUAACUGGAGGACCGAACCGACUAAUGUUGAAAAAUUAGCGGAUGACCUGUGGCUGGGGGUGAAAGGCCAAUCAAACCGGGAGAUAGCUGGUUCUCCCCGAAAGCUAUUUAGGUAGCGCCUCGUGAAUUCAUCUCCGGGGGUAGAGCACUGUUUCGGCUAGGGGGCCAUCCCGGCUUACCAACCCGAUGCAAACUGCGAAUACCGGAGAAUGUUAUCACGGGAGACACACGGCGGGUGCUAACGUCCGUCGUGAAGAGGGAAACAACCCAGACCGCCAGCUAAGGUCCCAAAGUCAUGGUUAAGUGGGAAACGAUGUGGGAAGGCCCAGACAGCCAGGAUGUUGGCUUAGAAGCAGCCAUCAUUUAAAGAAAGCGUAAUAGCUCACUGGUCGAGUCGGCCUGCGCGGAAGAUGUAACGGGGCUAAACCAUGCACCGAAGCUGCGGCAGCGAACGUAUCACCCAAGACAACUUUACGGAGUUGACGAUUGACGGAGCGAAGCGACGUCAAAGCGUUCAUUAAAGUCGAGUUGGCUUAGGGAUACGUUCGUUGGGUAGGGGAGCGUUCUGUAAGCCUGUGAAGGUGUGUCGUGAGGCAUGCUGGAGGUAUCAGAAGUGCGAAUGCUGACAUAAGUAACGAUAAAGCGGGUGAAAAGCCCGCUCGCCGGAAGACCAAGGGUUCCUGUCCAACGUUAAUCGGGGCAGGGUGAGUCGACCCCUAAGGCGAGGCCGAAAGGCGUAGUCGAUGGGAAACGGGUUAAUAUUCCCGUACUUGGUGUUACUGCGAAGGGGGGACGGAGAAGGCUAUGUUGGCCGGGCGACGGUUGUCCCGGUUUAAGCGUGUAGGUGUGUGUUCCAGGUAA
RNAcentral lists this ribosomal RNA (912 nucleotides) under Salmonella enterica subsp. enterica serovar Typhimurium. RNAcentral describes it as "partial 23S ribosomal RNA". It matches the Rfam family "Bacterial large subunit ribosomal RNA", at positions 711 to 1539 of the family's 2925-position model. The record is from RNAcentral. Lineage: Bacteria; Pseudomonadati; Pseudomonadota; Gammaproteobacteria; Enterobacterales; Enterobacteriaceae.